UCGAGAAUUUUUCUCAAUGGGGGCAACCCUGAAGGAGCGACGCCGCGUGGAGGAUGAAGGCCUUCGGGUCGUAAACUCCUGUCAUUUGGGAACAAAACUUCCGCUUAACUGGCGGGAGCUUGAUAGUACUAGAAGAGGAAGAGACGGCUAACUCUGUGCCAGCAGCCGCGGUAAUACAGAGGUCUCAACCGUUGUUCGGAUUCAUUGGGCGUAAAGGGUGCGUAGGCGGUCGCGUAAGUCGGAUGUGAAAUCCCGGGGCUCAACCCCGGAACUGCAUUCGAUACUGCGUGGCUAGGGUACUGGAGAGGAGACUGGAAUUUACGGUGUAGCAGUGAAAUGCGUAGAUAUCGUAAGGAAGACCAGUGGCGAAGGCGAGUCUCUGGACAGUUACCGACGCUGAGGCACGAAGGCCAGGGGAGCAAACGG
Molecule: ribosomal RNA, 426 nt
Filed under: uncultured bacterium
Lineage: Bacteria
Description: bacterial SSU rRNA
Rfam family: Bacterial small subunit ribosomal RNA
Source: RNAcentral